Molecule: ribosomal RNA, 520 nt
Filed under: uncultured beta proteobacterium
Lineage: Bacteria; Pseudomonadati; Pseudomonadota; Betaproteobacteria
Description: bacterial SSU rRNA
Rfam family: Bacterial small subunit ribosomal RNA
Source: RNAcentral
GAGUUUGAUCGUGGCUCAGAUUGAACGCUGGCGGAAUGCUUUACACAUGCAAGUCGAACGGCAGCACGGGGGCAACCCUGGUGGCGAGUGGCGAACGGGUGAGUAAUACAUCGGAACGUGCCCAGUCGUGGGGGAUAACGUAGCGAAAGCUACGCUAAUACCGCAUACGAACUGAGGUUGAAAGCGGGGGAUCGCAAGACCUCGCGCGAUUGGAGCGGCCGAUGGCAGAUUAGGUAGUUGGUGGGGUAAAGGCCUACCAAGCCGACGAUCUGUAGCUGGUCUGAGAGGACGACCAGCCACACUGGGACUGAGACACGGCCCAGACUCCUACGGGAGGCAGCAGUGGGGAAUUUUGGACAAUGGGCGCAAGCCUGAUCCAGCCAUUCCGCGUGCAGGAUGAAGGCCCUCGGGUUGUAAACUGCUUUUGUACGGAACGAAAAGGCGCGGGUUAAUACCCUGUGCUGAUGACGGUACCGUAAGAAUAAGCACCGGCUAACUACGUGCCAGCCGCCGCCGUAAU